GCCCUACAACCCGCUGUACACCGCCUUCUAAGCGGUUGGUCGUUGGUUCGAUUCCUAACGGGGGCGCCA
RNAcentral lists this transfer RNA (69 nucleotides) under Candidatus Amunia macphersoniae. RNAcentral describes it as "tRNA-Ser". The record is from RNAcentral. Lineage: Bacteria; Bacillati; Candidatus Dormiibacterota; Candidatus Dormibacteria; Candidatus Aeolococcales; Candidatus Aeolococcaceae.